Molecule: ribosomal RNA, 253 nt
Filed under: uncultured bacterium
Lineage: Bacteria
Description: partial 16S ribosomal RNA
Rfam family: Bacterial small subunit ribosomal RNA
Source: RNAcentral
UACGUAGGGUGCAAGCGUUAAUCGGAAUUACUGGGCGUAAAGCGUGCGCAGGCGGUUAUGUAAGACAGAUGUGAAAUCCCCGGGCUCAACCUGGGAACUGCGUUUGUGACUGUAUGACUAGAGUACGGUAGAGAGGGGUGGAAUUCCUGGUGUAGCAGUGAAAUGCGUAGAUAUCAGGAAGAACACCCGUGGCGAAGGCGGCUCUCUGGGACGGUACUGACGCUGAGACGCGAAAGCGUGGGGAGCGAACAGG